RNAcentral lists this small RNA (438 nucleotides) under Histoplasma ohiense. Its description in RNAcentral is "hypothetical lncRNA". Lineage: Eukaryota; Fungi; Ascomycota; Eurotiomycetes; Onygenales; Ajellomycetaceae. The record is from RNAcentral.
AAAACCCAUCCCCUUCCUUCCAUUCCCUCCCCGCCUCCUGAGCGCGGAUUCGCGGAUCCCUGCCCCGCUCCUGCGCUCGCGCAAGUAUCUUCGUCAACUCUUGCUUUGCGGCCUCUAGCUGAGCCUCCAGAAGUGCUCCCUUCCCCAACUCAGGCUGCUCCAUGUCCUCGAUCUCCUUGCGCGACUUGCCCUCUCUUUCCGCAUCCGCAACCGCACCCGCCAGCCUGCGCCAUUUCUCUAGGUCCUUCUUCAAGCCUUCCUCACGUCUCAGGAGGCCGAGAUACUCAUCUACCCCUUCGGCGCCGCCGAAACAUAACCCGUACCCGUCACAGUAACACGCAUGCUUCGCGGGGCAGAAGACCGUCUGGCCCGCGAACAGCACCUGCCAGAGAUACUCCCACACGCGGCCAGAGAUCGAGUCGCUCAGCUCCGUGCGCA